RNAcentral lists this non-coding RNA (646 nucleotides) under Pongo abelii (Sumatran orangutan). The record is from RNAcentral. Lineage: Eukaryota; Metazoa; Chordata; Mammalia; Primates; Hominidae.
GGAGAAUCUGAGACUUCUGAAGAGUUUCUUGCUUCUUUCCUGUGGGGCAGUGACUCCACUUCCCAGCAGUAAUGGAAUAUCCUGAAUUAGCUACAUUAAUGUUAGAACCAUUUGGACCUCACCCAGGACUUCAACUACAUUGUGCUAAAGUUACAGAAUCCAAAUUUGGCAACUGCCUGCAUCUGAACAACAGAAGUUUCAACAUUCUGCCAACAGAGUAACUCCUGGACGACUGGCACAGAAGAAGGCACAAGGCAAAUACCCAUCUCUGUACACCCUGUGCUACUGUGUCAUGUGCUGCUCCAGGCAACUCCAAUGGAUUGGCCACCCUGGCCAAUGUGUUCUAGUAUGUUAGGUUUAUGUUCCCCUGCUUUCUACAAUCCUGUUCAAAGAGUUGCUGACUUAACCACAGAGAGAAUUCCAGAACAUGAGACACAGAAUAAACUUGAACAAUCAUAGUCCAUCCACUUCAUUUUCUCAUCGAAAACCAAAGGUCCAGUGAGGCUCUGGAACUCGACGCUGUAAAGGAGCGAAGGAGCAUCUAUACAGAACCUGGAUGCCUGUCUCCUUAUCCUACUUCAGCGGACUUGACUGCAAUCCGGAUUAUGCUGUUUUCUAAGCAUUUAAAAUAAAAUAAAAAGUGUAA